AACGAACGCUGGCGGCGGGCCUCAUACAUGCAAGUCGAGCGCGAAAGUCCGCAAGGAUGAGUAAAGCGGCGCACGGGUGAGUAACACGUGGGUAAUCUACCUUUUGGAUUGGAAUAACCUGUCGAAAGACGGGCUAAUGCCAAGUAAGUUCUUUGGAACGUGGAGUUUUGAAGAAGAAAGAUGGCGCAAGCUAUCGCCGAAAGAUGAGCCUGCGUCCCAUUAGUUAGUUGGUGGGGUAAUGGCUUACCAAGACAAUGAUGGGUACCUGGUCUGAGAGGAUGACCAGGCACACUGGAACUGAAACACGGACCAGACUCCUACGGGAGGCAGCAGUAGGGAAUAUUGCGCAAUGGACGAAAGUCUGACGCAGCCACGCCGCGUGAGUGAGGAA
Molecule: ribosomal RNA, 391 nt
Filed under: uncultured bacterium
Lineage: Bacteria
Description: bacterial SSU rRNA
Rfam family: Bacterial small subunit ribosomal RNA
Source: RNAcentral